AGGUUAAGCUACAAAGAGCACACGGAGGAUGCCUAGGCGCCAGGAGCCGACGAAGGACGUGGCGAACAACGAUAAGGCCUCGGGGAGCUGUAAGCAAGCUUUGAUCCGGGGAUGUCCGAAUGGGGAAACCCGGCUGUCUUCAUCGACAGUCACUUUCUGCUGAAUACAUAGGCAGAAUAGAGGCAGACCAGGGGAACUGAAACAUCUAAGUACCCUGAGGAAGAGAAAACAAUAGUGAUUCCGUCAGUAGCGGCGAGCGAACGCGGAUUAGCCCAAACCAAGGAGCUUGCUCCUUGGGGUUGUGGGACGUCUCACAUGGAGUUACAAAGGAACCGGUUAGAUGAAGAGGUCUGGAAAGGCCCGCCAAAGAAGGUGAAAGCCCUGUAAUUCAAAACUUGUUCUCUCCGAGACGGAUCCCGAGUAGUGCGGGGCACGUGAAACCCCGUAUGAAUCCGGCAGGACCAUCUGCCAAGGCUAAAUACUCCCUGGCGACCGAUAGUGAAGCAGUACCGUGAGGGAAAGGUGAAAAGCACCCCGGAAGGGGAGUGAAAUAGAUCCUGAAACCGUGUGCUUACAAGAAGUCAGAGCCCGAUCUAUGGGUGAUGGCGUGCCUUUUGUAGAAUGAACCGGCGAGUUACGUUCCCGUGCAAGGUUAAGGUGAAGAGCUGAAGCCGCAGCGAAAGCGAGUCUGAAUAGGGCGAAUGAGUACGUGGACGUAGACCCGAAACCGGGUGAUCUACCCCUGUCCAGGGUGAAGGUGCGGUAACACGCACUGGAGGCCCGAACCCACGCAUGUUGAAAAAUGCGGGGAUGAGGUGGGGGUAGCGGAGAAAUUCCAAUCGAACCCCGGAGAUAGCUGGUUCUCCCCGAAAUAGCUUUAGGGCUAGCCUCGGAAAGAAGAAUCGUGGAGGUAGAGCACUGAUUGGGUGCGGGGCCCGCAAGGGUUACCAAGCUCAGUCAAACUCCGAAUGCCAUAGAUUUAGUUCCGGGAGUCAGACAGUGAGUGCUAAGAUCCAUUGUCGAAAGGGAAACAGCCCAGACCAUCAGCUAAGGUCCCCAAGUGUGUGUUAAGUGGGAAAGGAUGUGGAGUUGCACAGACAACCAGGAUGUUGGCUUAGAAGCAGCCACCAUUGAAAGAGUGCGUAAUAGCUCACUGGUCGAGUGACUCUGCGCCGAAAAUGUAACGGGGCUAAACACACCACCGAAGCUAUGGCUUGAUGCUUGCAUCAGGGGUAGGGGAGCGUUGAAUGCGGAUUGAAGGUGUACCGUAAGGAGCGCUGGACUGCAUUCAAGUGAGAAUGCCGGUAUGAGUAACGAAAAGAUCUGUGAGAAUCAGAUCCGCCGAAAGCCUAAGGGUUCCUGAGGAAGGUUCGUCCGCUCAGGGUAAGUCGGGACCUAAGGCGAGGCCGAUAGGCGUAGUCGAAGGACAACAGGUCGAAAUUCCUGUACCACCGUAAUCCGUUAUGAGCGAUGGGGUGACGCAGUAGGGUAGUGACGCGGACUGAUGGAUGUCCGUCUAAGCAGUGAGGCUGGUGUGUAGGCAAAUCCGCACAUCGUAAGGCUGGGCUGUGAUGGGGAGCGAAAAUUGUAGUAGCGAAGGUCAUGAUCUCAGACUGCCAAGAAAAGCCUCUAGCCAGGAGAAGGUGCCCGUACCGCAAACCGACACAGGUAGGCGAGAAGAGAAUUCUAAGGCGCGCGGAAGAACUCUCGUUAAGGAACUCGGCAAAAUGACCCCGUAACUUCGGGAGAAGGGGUGCCUCGGUAGGGUGAAUAGCCCGAGGGGGCCGCAGUGAAAAGGCCCAAAGCGACUGUUUAGCAAAAACACAGGUCUGUGCGAAGCCGCAAGGCGAAGUAUACGGCUGACGCCUGCCCGGUGCUGGAAGGUUAAGGGGAGUGGUAAGCCUUCGGGCGAAGCUAUGAACCGAAGCCCCAGUAAACGGCGGCCGUAACUAUAACGGUCCUAAGGUAGCGAAAUUCCUUGUCAGGUAAAUUCUGACCCGCACGAAUGGCGUAACGACUUGGGCGCUGUCUCAACGAGAGAUCCGGUGAAAUUUUAAUACUGUGAAGAUGCAGGUUACCCGCGACAAGACGGAAAGACCCCAUGGAGCUUUACUGCAGCUUGAUAUUGAAUUUGGGUACGAUCUGUACAGGAUAGGUGGGAGCCGUUGAACUUUGAGCGCCAGCUUGAAGGGAGGCAUCCUUGGGAUACCACCCUGAUCGUAUCUAGGUUCUAACUUGGUACCGUAAUCCGGUGCGAGGACAGUGUCAGGUGGGCAGUUUGACUGGGGCGGUCGCCUCCUAAAGAGUAACGGAGGCGCCCCAAGGUUCCCUCAGAAUGGUUGGAAAUCAUUCGAAGAGUGCAAAGGCAGAAGGGAGCUUGACUGCGAGACCUACAAGUCGAGCAGGGACGAAAGUCGGGCUUAGUGAUCCGGUGGUACCGCAUGGAAGGGCCAUCGCUCAACGGAUAAAAGCUACCCUGGGGAUAACAGGCUUAUCUCCCCCAAGAGUCCACAUCGACGGGGAGGUUUGGCACCUCGAUGUCGGGCUCAUCGCAUCCUGGGGCUGAAGUAGGUCCCAAGGGUUGGGCUGUUCGCCCAUUAAAGCGGUACGCGAGCUGGGUUCAGAACGUCGGUGAGACAGUUCGGUCCCUAUCUGUCGUGGGCGUAGGAAAUUUGAGAGGAGCUGUCCUUAGUACGAGAGGACCGGGAUGGACGUACCGCUGGUGUACCAGUUGUUCCGCCAGGAGCACCGCUGGGUAGCUAUGUACGGAAGGGAUAAGCGCUGAAAGCAUCUAAGCGUGAAGCCCCCCUCAAGAUGAGAUUUCCCAGAAGGUAAAAGCCCUGUAGUUCAAAACUUGUUCUCUCCGAGACGGAUCCCGAGUAGUGCGGGGCACGUGAAACCCCGUAUGAAUCCGGCAGGACCAUCUGCCAAGGCUAAAUACUCCCUGGCGACCGAUAGUUGAAGCAGUACCGUGAGGGAAAGGUGAAAAGCACCCCGGAAGGGGAGUGAAAUAGAUCCUGAAACCGUGUGCUUACAAGAAGUCAGAGCCCGAUCUAUGGGUGAUGGCGUGCCUUUUGUAGAAUGAACCGGCGAGUUACGUUCCCGUGCAAGGUUAAGGUGAAGAGCUGAAGCCGCAGCGAAAGCGAGUCUGAAUAGGGCGAAUGAGUACGUGGACGUAGACCCGAAACCGGGUGAUCUACCCCUGUCCAGGGUGAAGGUGCGGUAACACGCACUGGAGGCCCGAACCCACGCAUGUUGAAAAAUGCGGGGAUGAGGUGGGGGGUAGCGGAGAAAUUCCAAUCGAACCCGGAGAUAGCUGGUUCUCCCCGAAAUAGCUUUAGGGCUAGCCUCGGAAAGAAGAAUCGUGGAGGUAGAGCACUGAUUGGGUGCGGGGCCCGCAAGGGUUACCAAGCUCAGUCAAACUCCGAAUGCCAUAGAUUUAGUUCCGGGAGUCAGACAGUGAGUGCUAAGAUCCAUUGUCGAAAGGGAAACAGCCCAGACCAUCAGCUAAGGUCCCCAAGUGUGUGUUAAGUGGGAAAGGAUGUGGAGUUGCACAGACAACCAGGAUGUUGGCUUAGAAGCAGCCACCAUUGAAAGAGUGCGUAAUAGCUCACUGGUCGAGUGACUCUGCGCCGAAAAUGUAACGGGGCUAAACACACCACCGAAGCUAUGGCUUGAUGCUUGCAUCAGGGGUAGGGGAGCGUUGAAUGCGGAUUGAAGGUGUACCGUAAGGAGCGCUGGACUGCAUUCAAGUGAGAAUGCCGGUAUGAGUAACGAAAAGAUCUGUGAGAAUCAGAUCCGCCGAAAGCCUAAGGGUUCCUGAGGAAGGUUCGUCCGCUCAGGGUAAGUCGGGACCUAAGGCGAGGCCGAUAGGCGUAGUCGAAGGACAACAGGUCGAAAUUCCUGUACCACCGUAAUCCGUUAUGAGCGAUGGGGUGACGCAGUAGGGUAGUGACGCGGACUGAUGGAUGUCCGUCUAAGCAGUGAGGCUGGUGUGUAGGCAAAUCCGCACAUCGUAAGGCUGGGCUGUGAUGGGGAGCGAAAAUUGUAGUAGCGAAGGUCAUGAUCUCAGACUGCCAAGAAAAGCCUCUAGCCAGGAGAAGGUGCCCGUACCGCAAACCGACACAGGUAGGCGAGAAGAGAAUUCUAAGGCGCGCGGAAGAACUCUCGUUAAGGAACUCGGCAAAAUGACCCCGUAACUUCGGGAGAAGGGGUGCCUCGGUAGGGUGAAUAGCCCGAGGGGGCCGCAGUGAAAAGGCCCAAGCGACUGUUUAGCAAAAACACAGGUCUGUGCGAAGCCGCAAGGCGAAGUAUACGGGCUGACGCCUGCCCGGUGCUGGAAGGUUAAGGGGAGUGGUAAGCCUUCGGGCGAAGCUAUGAACCGAAGCCCCAGUAAACGGCGGCCGUAACUAUAACGGUCCUAAGGUAGCGAAAUUCCUUGUCAGGUAAAUUCUGACCCGCACGAAUGGCGUAACGACUUGGGCGCUGUCUCAACGAGAGAUCCGGUGAAAUUUUAAUACCUGUGAAGAUGCAGGUUACCCGCGACAAGACGGAAAGACCCCAUGGAGCUUUACUGCAGCUUGAUAUUGAAUUUGGGUACGAUCUGUACAGGAUAGGUGGGAGCCGUUGAACUUUGAGCGCCAGCUUGAAGGGAGGCAUCCUUGGGAUACCACCCUGAUCGUAUCUAGGUUCUAACUUGGUACCGUAAUCCGGUGCGAGGACAGUGUCAGGUGGGCAGUUUGACUGGGGCGGUCGCCUCCUAAAGAGUAACGGAGGCGCCCCAAGGUUCCCUCAGAAUGGUUGGAAAUCAUUCGAAGAGUGCAAAGGCAGAAGGGAGCUUGACUGCGAGACCUACAAGUCGAGCAGGGACGAAAGUCGGGCUUAGUGAUCCGGUGGUACCGCAUGGAAGGGCCAUCGCUCAACGGAUAAAAGCUACCCUGGGGAUAACAGGCUUAUCUCCCCCAAGAGUCCACAUCGACGGGGAGGUUUGGCACCUCGAUGUCGGCUCAUCGCAUCCUGGGGCUGAAGUAGGUCCCAAGGGUUGGGCUGUUCGCCCAUUAAAGCGGUACGCGAGCUGGGUUCAGAACGUCGUGAGACAGUUCGGUCCCUAUCUGUCGUGGGCGUAGGAAAUUUGAGAGGAGCUGUCCUUAGUACGAGAGGACCGGGAUGGACGUACCGCUGGUGUACCAGUUGUUCCGCCAGGAGCACCGCUGGGUAGCUAUGUACGGAAGGGAUAAGCGCUGAAAGCAUCUAAGCGUGAAGCCCCCCUCAAGAUGAGAUUUCCCAGUAUGUAAGACCCCUUGAAGACGACGAGGUAGAUAGGUUGGGGGUGGAAGUGCAGUAAUGCAUGGAGCUGACCAAUACUAAUCGGUCGAGGGCUUAUCCUAA
This 5388-nucleotide ribosomal RNA is filed under the name Paenibacillus polymyxa. RNAcentral's name for it is "23S ribosomal RNA". The stretch from base 2 to 2842 matches the Rfam family "Bacterial large subunit ribosomal RNA". The record is from RNAcentral. Lineage: Bacteria; Bacillati; Bacillota; Bacilli; Caryophanales; Paenibacillaceae.